This 265-nucleotide ribosomal RNA is filed under the name uncultured Atopobium sp. Its description in RNAcentral is "partial 16S ribosomal RNA". It matches the Rfam family "Bacterial small subunit ribosomal RNA", at positions 92 to 354 of the family's 1533-position model. The record is from RNAcentral. Lineage: Bacteria; Bacillati; Actinomycetota; Coriobacteriia; Coriobacteriales; Atopobiaceae.
AAAGUGGCGAACGGCUGAGUAACACGUGGGCAACCUGCCCUUUGCACUGGGAUAGCCUCGGGAAACCGAGGUUAAUACCGGAUACUCCAUAUUUGUCGCAUGGCGAAUAUGGGAAAGCUCCGGCGGCAAAGGAUGGGCCCCGCGGCCUGUUAGCUAGUUGGUGGGGUAGUGGCCUACCAAGGCAAUGAUGGGUAGCCGGGUUGAGAGACCGACCGGCCAGAUUGGGACUGAGACACGGCCCAGACUCCUACGGGAGGCAGCAGAC